This 1222-nucleotide long non-coding RNA is filed under the name Triticum aestivum (bread wheat). Its description in RNAcentral is "long non-coding RNA (TAES_LNC001493)". Lineage: Eukaryota; Viridiplantae; Streptophyta; Magnoliopsida; Poales; Poaceae. The record is from RNAcentral.
CCGUCUGUUGGUGCAGCUCCUGGGCGGCCGCACAGGCGCCGGAUGUCCGGCCUCUCGCCCAGAUGUCCGGCCGCUGUAGCUUCAGCAGCUCCGUCUUCUUCCGUUGUCACUUUUAGGCUUCCCUCAUGGAUGGUGUAUUUGUACACUUGCAUUUGCACUCCUCCUCGUUGUCUAUGGCGUUCCGACAAUAUCUAUACAUGCACAUGAGUGGAGUGUCAAGUAGUAUACCAUCCUCGAAGGAGUCAAGUGAUCACGUGUAAAGGAGAUGAUUCACCUUUAUGUAUGUGAAGUAGAUGUCGCACGUGUCACUCGCCGAAUGGACUCUUGACAUGGUGAUGUCCAUAGGAUGCUCCGCAUCAAUUCUCAUGGUCACUACGAGUACACAGGAAAAAGAAUCAAUGAAUUUGGAGUUACGGAUCUCAAGAUAUACCAAAAUGGAAAUUUGAAAUGAAAUCUGCCCAAAAAGAAAUUUGCCAAAACAGUGUUCCUGGAAGAACUGCUUCGGUAGCUGUGGAUGUGCCACGUGGUGUGACAGGAUUGGCUAGAUGGUGUUCACUGCGAUGGCUGAAGAGCGGACGACCGCAACAUAAAGAAAAGUGGUUUGGGAAAUAAAAAAACACGAUGUAAUCUAGGCCGUUAGAGAGAGAGAUCCAACGGAUGGGAUGACUCACCGGAUAGACAGGGGCUCGAUGGCCGCCGAAGUUCAGGAAGACGGUGCGGCUGGCUCGGAUUUUGAGCGUGCUCUUGCUGGAGAGGCCUCCCGAGCUAGGGGAAAAUACUACGAGGUGAGGAGGGAUGCGGCGAACACGCAAACUACCUCAGGGACGACCGGUCCUUCUGUUAGCGUCGGUGAGGUCAGGCUGGAGCAACGGUGGCAGUGGAUUUCUGGGCGAGCUCCGUUUGCUCGACUCUGGGGCGUCUCUGCGUGAAUAUAAUAUGAGGAAGAUAGGGGAGGGUAAGAAUAUCAAGACAGAGGAGUAAAGAGAUGCUACGGACCCUCGGUGCUGAAGAAAUCGGCGGCAGCGGAGCUUCAGCUUCAGCGGACUCCGGCGAGAUCGGGCCGCCGUUCUAGUGCACAGGAGAACUCCGAUUUUGCGAAAAUCUGCGGAGGAGGACUCGGGAAUACCUUAUAGGUGGAUUCCAGGGUCUAGGGUGUGGGGAUAGUGAUCGAAUCUGGUUUGGGAGUGGACUCCAGGACGAACACGGGUGGAGGAAGGGGAUG